Molecule: transfer RNA, 77 nt
Filed under: Rhizoctonia solani AG-1 IB
Lineage: Eukaryota; Fungi; Basidiomycota; Agaricomycetes; Cantharellales; Ceratobasidiaceae
Description: tRNA-Ala
Source: RNAcentral
UAUGCGAGAGGUCCUCGAUUCGAAUUCGGGCUUGUCCAGGGCAUGUAGCGCAGUUGGUAGCGCGCUCGCUUAGCAUU